UGCCACAUAGCUAUAAAAUACUGUGCUAGAGUUCAGAUGUCAGUUUUGUAACACCACAAACCUUCUGGUACAUGCAUGGUACAUGCAUGCAGGUACCUACUUUGUUAUAAUAUGAUUGCAAACUAUAAUUAUACAUAAGUAAUGAUACUCUUUCGUUCAUUGUUUCAUAAAUCAAGAGUAUGACCACAAAAGUCCCCACAAAAGUCCCCAAUUACGAACUGUGUCGGCAACAUGACUUAGAAGGUGUACAUUCUUAAAAGGUUGCAUAGCUGAUUAGUCCUAUCUUUUUAAUUACACAGCUAUACCUAAAACAUGAACGAGAGAUAAAGUUGAUAUCGAUUACCAAUAUAUAGCAGUUGCAGUGAGGAUGACGAAAAAAUAGUCCAAAGAUCUCUUCCUUGGCGAUCUGAAGGGCGAUCUGAAGCACUGAACAGGCUUGUUGAAAAAGAGAAUUGAACAGAACACGAAGGUCACAAACAGGAGGAAAAAGACUUCAAAAAUCGCCUAACGAUGCUCCGUUGUGGACUGUAUCAAGCAAUUACCAAGAGUGUUGUUGAUGCAGAAACAUCGCAUACGUACCAGUGGUACCAAUACUACUAGUGGUACCAGUAGAAGUGGAGUUGCAAGGAGACUCGAACUUGAUUCAUUAUCAGCAAUUGAUGUAUUGUCUUUUGCUUGCAAUUUAAUUGUUAUUGUUGAUGAA
Molecule: long non-coding RNA, 703 nt
Organism: Halichondria panicea
Lineage: Eukaryota; Metazoa; Porifera; Demospongiae; Suberitida; Halichondriidae
Exons: 2
Source: RefSeq, a predicted model, not a curated record